RNAcentral lists this long non-coding RNA (331 nucleotides) under Jatropha curcas. RNAcentral describes it as "long non-coding RNA (JCUR_LNC002308)". The record is from RNAcentral. Lineage: Eukaryota; Viridiplantae; Streptophyta; Magnoliopsida; Malpighiales; Euphorbiaceae.
AACUCAAACACAGGGGUAAGAAUCAUACCGUAGGGCAGCUUUUUAGGGUUGUUCAACAACUUGUCAAAAAUGAUGUGACAUAGAUUGAGUGGUUUCUUCUCAACUAUGUGCCACAUUAUACACAGCUCUACUUGAUUUACAUAAGUGAGUGAAGCACUCUUGGGAUAAAUGUAGUGCACAAUGAGCUUGUACAACCAUUUCAUGCUAUCUGUCAGAUUAGAGCACUCUAUUGUACCCUGUUUGUCUGCUAAACCCUUCUUCACAAUCUUUUUCACAAAUUCCCCCUUUUUAUAAUCGCUAACCCUAGACACCUCCUUAAUUUUGGUCACCC